AUUGAACGCUGGCGGCAUGCCUUACACAUGCAAGUCGAACGGCAGCGGACCUUCGGGUGCCGGCGAGUGGCGAACGGGUGAGUAAUAUAUCGGAACGUACCUUUCAGUGGGGGAGUAACGUAGCGAAGUUACGCUAAUACCGCAUAUUCUGUGAGCAGGAAAGCAGGGGAGUCGCAAGACCUUGCGCUGAUUGAGCGGCCGAUAUCAGAUUAGCUAGUUGGUGAGGUAAAGGACUCACCAAGGCGACGAUCUGUAGCGGGUCUGAGAGGAUGAUCCGCCACACUGGAACUGAGACACGGUCCAGACUCCUACGGGAGGCAGCAGUGGGGAAUUUUGGACAAUGGGCGCAAGCCUGAUCCAGCCAUGCCGCGUGAGUGAAGAAGGCCUUCGGUUGUAA
This 397-nucleotide ribosomal RNA is filed under the name uncultured bacterium. RNAcentral describes it as "bacterial SSU rRNA". It matches the Rfam family "Bacterial small subunit ribosomal RNA", at positions 30 to 428 of the family's 1533-position model. The record is from RNAcentral.